This 432-nucleotide ribosomal RNA is filed under the name uncultured bacterium. RNAcentral's name for it is "partial 16S ribosomal RNA". It matches the Rfam family "Bacterial small subunit ribosomal RNA", at positions 338 to 795 of the family's 1533-position model. The record is from RNAcentral.
CCUACGGGAGGCAGCAGUGGGGAAUAUUGCACAAUGGGCGCAAGCCUGAUGCAGCCAUGCCGCGUGUAUGAAGAAGGCCUUCGGGUUGUAAAGUACUUUCAGCGGGGAGGCGUUACCCGCAGAAGAAGCACCGGCUAACUCCGUGCCAGCAGCCGCGGUAAUACGGAGGGUGCAAGCGUUAAUCGGAAUUACUGGGCGUAAAGCGCACGCAGGCGGUCUGUUAAGUCAGAUGUGAAAUCCCCGGGCUUAACCUGGGAACUGCAUUUGAAACUGGCAGGCUUGAGUCUUGUAGAGGGGGGUAGAAUUCCAGGUGUAGCGGUGAAAUGCGUAGAGAUCUGGAGGAAUACCGGUGGCGAAGGCGGCCCCCUGGACAAAACUGACGCUCAGGUGCGAAAGCGUGGGGAGCAAACAGGAUUAGAUACCCUUGUAGUC